GACGAACGCUUGCGGCGUGCUUAACACAUGCAAGUCGAACGGAAAGGCCCUGCUUUUGUGGGGUGCUCGAGUGGCGAACGGGUGAGUAACACGUGAGUAACCUGCCCUUGACUUUGGGAUAACUUCAGGAAACUGGGGCUAAUACCGGAUAGGAGCUCCUGCUGCAUGGUGGGGGUUGGAAAGUUUCGGCGGUUGGGGAUGGACUCGCGGCUUAUCAGCUUGUUGGUGGGGUAGUGGCUUACCAAGGCUUUGACGGGUAGCCGGCCUGAGAGGGUGACCGGCCACAUUGGGACUGAGAUACGGCCCAGACUCCUACGGGAGGCAGCAGUGGGGAAUAUUGCACAAUGGGCGGAAGCCUGAUGCAGCAACGCCGCGUGCGGGAUGACGGCCUUCGGGUUGUAAACCGCUUUCGCCUGUGACGAAGCGUGAGUGACGGUAAUGGGUAAAGAAGCACCGGCUAACUACGUGCCAGCAGCCGCGGUGAUACGUAGGGUGCGAGCGUUGUCCGGAUUUAUUGGGCGUAAAGGGCUCGUAGGUGGUUGAUCGCGUCGGAAGUGUAAUCUUGGGGCUUAACCCUGAGCGUGCUUUCGAUACGGGUUGACUUGAGGAAGGUAGGGGAGAAUGGAAUUCCUGGUGGAGCGGUGGAAUGCGCAGAUAUCAGGAGGAACACCAGUGGCGAAGGCGGUUCUCUGGGCCUUUCCUGACGCUGAGGAGCGAAAGCGUGGGGAGCGAACAGGCUUAGAUACCCUGGUAGUCCACGCUGUAAACGGUGGGUACUAGGUGUGGGGUCCAUUCCACGGGUUCCGUGCCGUAGCUAACGCUUUAAGUACCCCGCCUGGGGAGUACGGCCGCAAGGCUAAAACUCAAAGGAAUUGACGGGGCCCCGCACAAGCGGCGGAGCAUGCGGAUUAAUUCGAUGCAACGCGUAGAACCUUACCUGGGUUUGACAUGGAUCGGGAGUGCUCAGAGAUGGGUGUGCCUCUUUUGGGGUCGGUUCACAGGUGGUGCAUGCCUGUCGUCAGCUCGUGUCGUGAGAUGUUGGGUUAAGUCCCGCAACGAGCGCAACCCUUGUUCACUGUUGCCAGCACGUUAUGGUGGGGACUCAGUGGAGACCGCCGGGGUCAACUCGGAGGAAGGUGGGGAUGACGUCAAGUCCUCACGCCCCUUAUGUCCAGGGCUUCACGCAUGCUACAAUGGCUGGUACAGAGAGUGGCGAGCCUGUGAGGGUGAGCGAAUCUCGGAAAGCCGGUCUCAGUUCGGAUUGGGGUCUGCAACUCGACCUCAUGAAGUCGGAGUCGCUAGUAAUCGCAGAUCAGCAACGCUGCGGUGAAUACGUUCCCGGGGCU
RNAcentral lists this ribosomal RNA (1346 nucleotides) under uncultured bacterium. Its description in RNAcentral is "bacterial SSU rRNA". It matches the Rfam family "Bacterial small subunit ribosomal RNA", at positions 28 to 1381 of the family's 1533-position model. The record is from RNAcentral.